UACGAAGGGGGCUAGCGUUGCUCGGAAUGACUGGGCGUAAAGCGCGUGUAGGCGGCAACGCAAGUCGGGCGUGAAAUCCCACGGCUCAACCGUGGAAGUGCACUCGAAACUGCGUAGCUAGAGUCCUGGAGAGGAAGGUGGAAUGCUUGGUGUAGAGGUGAAAUUCGUAGAUAUCAAGCGGAACACCGGUGGCGAAGGCGGCCUUCUGGACAGUGACUGACGCUGAGACGCGAAAGCGUGGGGAGCAAACAGG
RNAcentral lists this ribosomal RNA (253 nucleotides) under uncultured bacterium. RNAcentral's name for it is "partial 16S ribosomal RNA". It matches the Rfam family "Bacterial small subunit ribosomal RNA", at positions 524 to 776 of the family's 1533-position model. The record is from RNAcentral.